GCAGCACGCUCUAUAGGGCGUUUCCUCCCUAGACUCAGGCCACGCACGGUUCCCGUGCGUGGCUUUUUUUUCUGUCCG
RNAcentral lists this small RNA (78 nucleotides) under Azospirillum brasilense. Its description in RNAcentral is "suhB". It matches the Rfam family "Makes More Granules Regulator RNA (mmgR)". From Rfam's summary of the family: SuhB later renamed mmgR (makes more granules regulator) was a putative non-coding RNA found multiple times in the Agrobacterium tumefaciens genome and related alpha-proteobacteria. Lineage: Bacteria; Pseudomonadati; Pseudomonadota; Alphaproteobacteria; Rhodospirillales; Azospirillaceae. The record is from RNAcentral.